UGGGGAAUAUUGCGCAAUGGGGGAAACCCUGACGCAGCGACGCCGCGUGUGGGAUGAAGGUCUUCGGAUUGUAAACCACUGUCGCGAGGGACGAAGCUCUGACGGUACCUCGAAAGGAAGCACCGGCUAACUCUGUGCCAGCAGCCGCGGUAAUACAGAGGGUGCGAGCGUUGUCCGGAAUCACUGGGCGUAAAGGGCGCGUAGGCGGCCCGGUAAGUAGGGGGUGAAAUCUCAUGGCUCAACUGUGAGGCUGCCUUCUAGACUGCCAGGCUUGAGCACAGUAGAGGCGAGUGGAAUUCCCGGUGUAGCGGUGGAAUGCGUAGAGAUCGAGAAGAACAUCGGUGGCGAAGGCGGCUCGCUGGGCUGUUGCUGACGCUGAGGCGCGAAAGCGUGGGGAGCAAACGGGAUUAGAUACCCACGUAGUCCCUGAGCGGGCUGGCAAGGCGC
This 447-nucleotide ribosomal RNA is filed under the name uncultured bacterium. RNAcentral's name for it is "bacterial SSU rRNA". It matches the Rfam family "Bacterial small subunit ribosomal RNA", at positions 355 to 823 of the family's 1533-position model. The record is from RNAcentral.